AGAGUUUGAUCCUGGCUCAGAACGAACGCUGGCGGCAGGCCUAACACAUGCAAGUCGAGCGGUCCCUUCGGGGAUAGCGGCAGACGGGUGAGUAACGCGUGGGAACCUAUCCAUCGGUACGGAAUAGCUCCGGGAAACUGGAAUUAAUACCGUAUGCGCCCUACGGGGGAAAGAUUUAUCGCCGAUGGCCGGGCCCGCGUUGGAUUAGCUAGUAGGUUGGGUAAUGGCUGACCUAGGCGACGAUCCAUAGCUGGUCUGAGAGGAUGAUCAGCCACACUGGGACUGAGACACGGCCCAGACUCCUACGGGAGGCAGCAGUGGGGAAUAUUGGACAAUGGGGGCAACCCUGAUCCAGCCAUGCCGCGUGAGUGAUGACGGCCGUAGGGUCGUAAAGCUCUAUCCCCACCGAAGAUAAUGACAUUUCNCAG
Molecule: ribosomal RNA, 428 nt
Filed under: uncultured Alphaproteobacteria bacterium
Lineage: Bacteria; Pseudomonadati; Pseudomonadota; Alphaproteobacteria
Description: bacterial SSU rRNA
Rfam family: Bacterial small subunit ribosomal RNA
Source: RNAcentral